Molecule: ribosomal RNA, 463 nt
Filed under: uncultured bacterium
Lineage: Bacteria
Description: partial 16S ribosomal RNA
Rfam family: Bacterial small subunit ribosomal RNA
Source: RNAcentral
GACGAACGCUGGCGGCGUGCUUAACACAUGCCAGUCGAGCGGAAAGGCCACUUCGGUGGUACUCGAGCGGCGAACGGGUGCGUAACACGUGAGUAAUCUGCCCCUCACUUUGGGAUAGCCACCGGAACCGGUGAUUAAUACCGGAUAUGACCAUAUGACGCAUGGCGAGUGGUGGAUAGUUUUUCGGUGAGGGAUGUGCUCGCGGCCUAUCAGCUUGAUGGUGAGGGAAUGGCGCACCAUGGCCUCGACUGGUAGCCCGCCUGAGAUCGUGACCGCGGACACUGCGACUGAGACACGGCGCAGACGCCUACGGGGGGCAGCAGUCGGGAAUAUUGGACAAUGGGGGGAAGCCUGAGCCAGCGGCGCCGCGUGCGGGAUAACGGCCUUCGAGUUGUAAACCUCUUUCAGUGCCGACGAAGCGCAAGUGACGGUAGGUACAGAAGAAGCACCGGCCAACUACGUG